RNAcentral lists this ribosomal RNA (550 nucleotides) under uncultured bacterium. Its description in RNAcentral is "bacterial SSU rRNA". It matches the Rfam family "Bacterial small subunit ribosomal RNA", at positions 105 to 657 of the family's 1533-position model. The record is from RNAcentral.
GGUGAGUAAUGCUUGGGAACUUGCCUUUGCGAGGGGGAUAACAGUUGGAAACGACUGCUAAUACCGCAUAAUGUCUACGGACCAAACGGGGCUUCGGCUCCGGCGCAAAGAGAGGCCCAAGUGAGAUUAGCUAGUUGGUAAGGUAACGGCUUACCAAGGCGACGAUCUCUAGCUGUUCUGAGAGGAAGAUCAGCCACACUGGGACUGAGACACGGCCCAGACUCCUACGGGAGGCAGCAGUGGGGAAUAUUGCACAAUGGGGGAAACCCUGAUGCAGCCAUGCCGCGUGUGUGAAGAAGGCCUUCGGGUUGUAAAGCACUCUCAGUUGUGAGGAAAAGUUAGUAGUUAAUACCUGCUAGCCGUGACGUUAACAACAGAAGAAGCACCGGCUAACUCCGUGCCAGCAGCCGCGGUAAUACGGAGGGUGCGAGCGUUAAUCGGAAUUACUGGGCGUAAAGCGCACGCAGGCGGUUUGUUAAGCUAGAUGUGAAAGCCCCGGGCUCAACCUGGGAUGGUCAUUUAGAACUGGCAGACUAGAGUCUUGGAGAGG